RNAcentral lists this ribosomal RNA (440 nucleotides) under uncultured bacterium. RNAcentral's name for it is "partial 16S ribosomal RNA". It matches the Rfam family "Bacterial small subunit ribosomal RNA", at positions 338 to 795 of the family's 1533-position model. The record is from RNAcentral.
CCUACGGGAGACAGCAGUGGGGAAUAUUGCACAAUGGGGGGAACCCUGAUGCAGCGAUGCCGCGUGGAGGAAGAAGGUUUUCGGAUUGGAAACUCCUUGUAUCAGGGACGAUAAUGACGGUAACAGAAGAAAAAGCUCCGGCUAACUACGUGCCAGCAGCCGCGGUAAUACGUAGGGAGCGAGCGUGGUCCGGAAUUACUGGGGGUAAAGGGAGCGUAGGCGGGACGGCAAGUCAGAUGUGAAAACUGAGGGCGCAACCUUCAGACUGCAUUUGAAACUGCUGUUCUUGAGUGAGGUAGAGGGAAGCGGAAUUCCUAGUGUAGCGGUGAAAUGCGUAGAUAUUAGGAGGAACAUCGGUGGCGAAGGCGGCUUACUGGGCUUUUACUGACGCUGAGGCUCGAAGGCGUGGGGAGCAAACGGGAUUAGAUACCCUAGUAGUC